Long non-coding RNA from Serinus canaria (Common canary), 963 nucleotides. RefSeq lists it as uncharacterized. The transcript has 5 exons. The record is from RefSeq and is a predicted model, not a curated record. Lineage: Eukaryota; Metazoa; Chordata; Aves; Passeriformes; Fringillidae.
GGUUGCUCUUAGCCAAACUCAGAAGAGGAAUAGGCAGCUCAUGGGCCCCUGAAGAGCUCUGCAGAGAUGGAGGAUUCCUUAUCCAGGGAAACUCAGGACUCUGGGACAAGAUAAAGGAGAAUGACAACUAGCAAGGCAAGUGGCCCUUCCCCUGCUGUUCAGGGAAGACUUAAAGGUAUUUUUUAACAGCUGGAAGUCACCUGAUUGAACUGAUUUUCUUACUGUAUUGAGAAUUUUAUCAUGUAAGAUUUACAACUUAAAUUUAUAUUAUUGAGAGAAGAAAAAGAGGAGAAAAAAGAAAUCACAUGUCCAAAUUGCAAAUUCCUGGCAAUUUGCCUGGAGGAAGAGGGAAGGCACAGAGGUGUCCAGCUGCAGCUGCUGUGGCCUGAAUGAGGACUCUGCAUCUCAUUCAACACUGGCUGAGAUGAAAUAGAAACUUCCAUUCACCUUAUCAUGGAAUCAAUCUGGAUCCUUUGUGAAAGGACCAAUGCGAAGGAAAACCAGAAAACAGAAGGCCACAGUGGCUGGCACUGGAACUAAGGAACCUUGAGAUGUGUCGUCUCAGCCUGUGAUGACUACAGAAAGCCUCGCUGAAUUUUUCUGUGGAACUAAAUUAAAUGAAUCUGAAUUUGCAGUGAUGUUGCAGCUCAUUCCUCCUAUCGUUUGUCAGCAUUUGGUGACUGUUGGAAAGGGGCUCAGAGGAAUUCCUGGCAGUCCCAUGGAGUGCUGCAGGGAGAGAGUGCUGCUGUUUGCAAGCCAUGGCUACUGGGAGAGGCAGAGAGCAACACACCUUCCACCUGCCACCUCCCUGUGGAGCAGCUCUGGGCCUUGGAGCAUUGGUCUUGCAGGACCUUCUUUUCAGAAAAAGCAUAUUUCCCCCUAAGAGACCAGUUUGCUUGGUGGGAUUGAAAUAAUUGUUUAGGGAAGUUUAUAUUCCACGGAGGGCUGCCUCAUUUAAAAGUC